RNAcentral lists this ribosomal RNA (253 nucleotides) under uncultured bacterium. RNAcentral's name for it is "partial 16S ribosomal RNA". It matches the Rfam family "Bacterial small subunit ribosomal RNA", at positions 524 to 776 of the family's 1533-position model. The record is from RNAcentral.
AACGUAGGACGCAAGCGUUAUCCGGAGUUACUGGGCGUAAAGGGCGGGCAGGCGGUUCUGCCAGUCUGAUGUGAAAUCUCUCAGCUCAACUGGGAGCAGCCAUUGGAAACUACAGAACUGGAGUCUGGCAGAGGUAGGCGGAAUUCCGGGUGGAGUGGUGAAAUGCGUAGAGAUCCGGAGGAACACCAGAGGCGAAGGCGGCCUACUGGGCCAGUACUGACGCUGAGCCGCGAAAGCCAGGGGAGCGAACGGG